UUGGAAGUAAAAAGUCGUAACAAGGUCUCCGUUGGUGAACCAGCGGAGGGAUCAUUACUGAGUUUACGCUCUACAACCCUUUGUGAACAUACCUAUAACUGUUGCUUCGGCGGGUAGGGUCUCCGCGACCCUCCCGGCCUCCCGCCUCCGGGCGGGUCGGCGCCCGCCGGAGGAUAACCAAACUCUGAUUUAACGACGUUUCUUCUGAGUGGUACAAGCAAAUAAUCAAAACUUUUAACAACGGAUCUCUUGGUUCUGGCAUCGAUGAAGAACGCAGCGAAAUGCGAUAAGUAAUGUGAAUUGCAGAAUUCAGUGAAUCAUCGAAUCUUUGAACGCACAUUGCGCCCGCCAGCAUUCUGGCGGGCAUGCCUGUUCGAGCGUCAUUUCAACCCUCAAGCUCUGCUUGGUGUUGGGGCCCUACAGCCGAUGUAGGCCCUCAAAGGUAGUGGCGGACCCUCCCGGAGCCUCCUUUGCGUAGUAACUUUACGUCUCGCACUGGGAUCCGGAGGGACUCUUGCCGUAAAACCCCCCAAUUUUCCAAAGGUUGACCUCGGAUCA
This 558-nucleotide ribosomal RNA is filed under the name Colletotrichum gloeosporioides. RNAcentral describes it as "eukaryotic LSU rRNA". The stretch from base 230 to 383 matches the Rfam family "5.8S ribosomal RNA". The record is from RNAcentral. Lineage: Eukaryota; Fungi; Ascomycota; Sordariomycetes; Glomerellales; Glomerellaceae.